GAUAAACGCUGGCGGCGUGCCUAAUGCAUGCAAGUCGAACGGGGUCCCUUCGGGGGCUUACGUGGCGGACGGGUGAGGAACACGUGGGGAACCUGCCCUGAGGUGGGGGGUAGCCCGUGGAAACAUGGGGUAAUUCCGCAUAGCUUAGUUGGCCUGUAGGGUUGACUAAGAAAGCCUUCGGGCGCCUUGGGAGGGGCCUGCGGCCGAUUAGCUAGCUGGUGGGGUAACGGCCUACCAGGGCGAUGAUCGGUAGCUGGUCUGAGAGGACGGCCAGCCACAGGGGAACGGAGACACGGUCCCCACUCCUACGGGAGGCAGCAGCAAGGAAUUUUCCGCAAUGGGGGAAACCCUGACGGAGCAACGCCGCGUGCGGGAUGACGCCUUUCGGGGUGUAAACCGCUUUUGUCGGGGACGAAGGCCCUGGUAACAGGGUGAGACGGUACCCGGCGAAGAAGGUCCGGCUAACUACGUGCCAGCAGCCGCG
Molecule: ribosomal RNA, 484 nt
Filed under: uncultured bacterium
Lineage: Bacteria
Description: bacterial SSU rRNA
Rfam family: Bacterial small subunit ribosomal RNA
Source: RNAcentral